UGAGGAAUCUUCCACAAUGGGCGAAAGCCUGAUGGAGCAACGCCGCGUGCAGGAUGAAGGCCCUCGGGUCGUAAACUGCUUUUAUAAGUGAAGAAUAUGACGGUAACUUAUGAAUAAGCACCGGCUAACUACGUGCCAGCAGCCGCGGUCAUACGUAGGGUGCAAGCAUUAUCCGGAGUGACUGGGCGUAAAGAGUUGCGUAGGUGGACAAGUAAGCGAAUAGUGAAAUCCGACGGCUCAACCGUACGGACUAUUACUCGAACUGCUUGUCUCGAGAAUGGUAGAGGUAACUGGAAUUUCUAGUGUAGGAGUGAAAUCCGUAGAUAUUAGAAGGAACACCAAUGGCGUAGGCAGGUUACUGGACCAUUUCUGACACUGAGGCACGAAAGCGUGGGGAGCGAACC
RNAcentral lists this ribosomal RNA (404 nucleotides) under uncultured Candidatus Saccharibacteria bacterium. Its description in RNAcentral is "bacterial SSU rRNA". It matches the Rfam family "Bacterial small subunit ribosomal RNA", at positions 355 to 774 of the family's 1533-position model. The record is from RNAcentral. Lineage: Bacteria; Candidatus Saccharimonadota.